This 66-nucleotide transfer RNA is filed under the name Oncomelania hupensis hupensis. RNAcentral's name for it is "tRNA-Gly". The record is from RNAcentral. Lineage: Eukaryota; Metazoa; Mollusca; Gastropoda; Littorinimorpha; Pomatiopsidae.
GUCUCUUGAGUAUGAUAAGUACAUUUGCCUUCCAAGCAGAAAGAUUAGAUUGGACUAAAAGAGAUA